Molecule: ribosomal RNA, 500 nt
Filed under: uncultured Glomeromycotina
Lineage: Eukaryota; Fungi; Glomeromycota
Description: partial small subunit ribosomal RNA
Rfam family: Eukaryotic small subunit ribosomal RNA
Source: RNAcentral
CCAAUAGCGUAUAUUAAAGUUGUUGCAGUUAAAAAGCUCGUAGUUGAAUUUCGGGGUUAGUACGCUGGUCGUGCCUUCGGUAUGUACUGGUGUUUCUGAUUCCUACCUUCUGAAGAACCGUUAUGUCAUUCAUUUGGUGUGGCGGGGAAUCAGGACUGUUACUUUGAAAAAAUUAGAGUGUUUAAAGCAGGCUCGCGCUUGAAUACAUUAGCAUGGAAUAAUGAAAUAGGACGUUCGAUCCUAUUUUGUUGGUUUCUAGGAUUGACGUAAUGAUUAAUAGGGAUAGUUGGGGGCAUUAGUAUUCAAUUGUCAGAGGUGAAAUUCUUGGAUUUAUUGAAGACUAGCUACUGCGAAAGCAUUUUCCAAGGAUGUUUUCAUUAAUCAAGAACGAAAGUUAGGGGAUCGAAGACGAUCAGAUACCGUCGUAGUCUUAACCAUAAACUAUGCCGACUAGGGAUCGGAUGAUGUUAAUUUUUUAAUGACUCAUUCGGCGCCUUACG